Molecule: long non-coding RNA, 196 nt
Organism: Rana temporaria (common frog)
Lineage: Eukaryota; Metazoa; Chordata; Amphibia; Anura; Ranidae
Exons: 2
Source: RefSeq, a predicted model, not a curated record
GACUGGUACCAAGGAGUGGGGUAUUGAUUGACCAGAUCCAACUCACCCCUUUAUACCUGAGAUGAGGUAUUGGUUAAGCAAUUGGCCGUAAGGAGAAAGACAGGCCCCAUUUACCAAGGUCCAUAUACGGUGGAAAAGGUCCCUUGAAGAUAAAGACCCCAGAAGCCCCGAUGGCUCCCCCCUUGGAGCGAGGGCU